GACAGAGGGUGCGAACGUUGUUCGGAAUUACUGGGCGUAAAGCGCGUGUAGGCGGCAACGCAAGUCGGGCGUGAAAUCCCACGGCUCAACUGUGGAAGUGCACUCGAAACUGCGUAGCUAGAGUCCUGGAGAGGAAGGUGGAAUGCUUGGUGUAGAGGUGAAAUUCGUAGAUAUCAAGCGGAACACCGGUGGCGAAGGCGGCCUUCUGGACAGUGACUGACGCUGAGACGCGAAAGCGUGGGGAGCAAACAGG
This 253-nucleotide ribosomal RNA is filed under the name uncultured bacterium. RNAcentral describes it as "partial 16S ribosomal RNA". It matches the Rfam family "Bacterial small subunit ribosomal RNA", at positions 524 to 776 of the family's 1533-position model. The record is from RNAcentral.